Molecule: ribosomal RNA, 729 nt
Filed under: uncultured bacterium
Lineage: Bacteria
Description: bacterial SSU rRNA
Rfam family: Bacterial small subunit ribosomal RNA
Source: RNAcentral
AGUGGAGCAAUCCAUGAGUAAAGUGGCGACCGGGUGAGUAACACGUGACUAACCUACCCUAGAGUGGGGAAUAACCUCGGGAAACCGGGGCUAAUACCGCAUAACAUCGCAGAGGGAAGCUCUUUGCGAUCAAAGGAGUAAUUCGCUCAAGGAGGGGGUCGCGGCUGAUUAGUUAGUUGGUGAGGUAACGGCCCACCAAGACUUAGAUCAGUAGCCGGCCUGAGAGGGCGCACGGCCACACUGGAACUGAAACACGGUCCAGACUCCUACGGGAGGCAGCAGUGGGGAAUUUUGCGCAAUGGGGGAAACCCUGACGCAGCAACGCCGCGUGGAGGAUGAAGUCCCUUGGGAUGUAAACUCCUUUCGAUCGGGAAGAUAAUGACGGUACCUAUAUAAGAAGCCCCGGCUAACUUCGUGCCAGCAGCCGCGGUAAUACGAGGGGGGCAAGCGUUGUUCGGAAUUAUUGGGCGUAAAGGGCGCGUAGGCGGUUUGAUAAGUCUUGUGUGAAAUCUCUGGGCUCAACCCAGAGUCUGCACAGGAAACUGUCGGGCUUGAGUAUGGGAGAGGUGCGUGGAAUUUCCGGUGUAGCGGUGAAAUGCGUAGAUAUCGGAAGGAACACCUGUGGCGAAAGCGGCGCACUGGACCAAAACUGACGCUGAGGCGCGAAAGCUAGGGGAGCAAACAGGAUUAGAUACCCUGGUAGUCCUAGCCCUAAACGAUGAUUGCUUG